Molecule: long non-coding RNA, 10685 nt
Filed under: Paramuricea clavata
Lineage: Eukaryota; Metazoa; Cnidaria; Anthozoa; Malacalcyonacea; Plexauridae
Source: RNAcentral
CUUCACUUGCAUCAUUUUUUUCAACCUGGUUUCUUUUAAAUUCCAGGUAGUUUGUGACUCUCGAGGGCGAGUGUUAACCGUACCCAUAUGCAGAAUUCACUAGUGUGACCAGUGAACCGAAAUAUUGCUGGCAAACGUAAUCACUGCUUUCUCGAGUAUUGUACAUACUACAUACUCCUCACUGUCUUAAUAAACGUAUAAUGACUGUGCAAGAAGGGAUUUUAUGAUGUGUGUAACAUGUGCCUAUAGUCGGUCAAAGUAAAUGAUGGUUUGCUGAGCCUGAGACUUAUAAAAUGAAAGUUUAUUGUGUUUACCGCUCUGCCUCUGAGAUGGACAGAACUUGGACAAGUUCUACAUGAAGGUUAUUCAACGGUCAAUUUUAGAAAGGUUGCAAAAAUCACUAUUUGGUGGAUGGCCUCUUAAAAACCGGUAAGAUGCAGUCGCUAACCGCAUCCAUCUCCCGUCUCAAUAAACUAUAGCUUUACUAAGACUUCAACAACUUAAGCUCGUUUUCCAGUUCACCAUUUCGCUCGCUUCCCCGCGCUUGGUUACUUUAAAACAACAUUUCCGGUUCACUUUUUAUACGUUACUCUGAUUUUACAUUUAACAUACGAGCCUCUAGUGGAUUAGGGUACGUUUUGAUUUACGUUCGACAAAGCUACAGUUCGGUCGGACACCAAUGCACUCGGGUAGGACAAACAAUAAACCUCAGUUUUACUUAGGUCGGACAGAUUGUCCAGUGCAGUGCUCAACGAAGCCAACAAUGUUGGUGAUAUUGGACCGCUUGGUUUGAGUGGCUCAAUAUAUUUCUACUGGAUAGCUCUAUCAGUUUCUGUUCUACUAGUACUGUUCUCUCUAGAGGUCCAGUAUAGGACCGACUUUUAUUGGUCACGUAAUGUGAGUAACCCUACCGUGUUUGGUAGAGUCAGUCUGGAAGCAUCUUCUCUCGUGGGAUUCAGGAGAAAGUGCCUAUUGUUGUUAAGCAGAGGAUUUCAUGCGCCUGGUAAUUAAAAAUUCGAUUCAAUUAGCCUUUCUCACGCCGCCAUUUUUGGGUGGCUUUUCAGCCGAAGUCUGCGAGAUAAUAAGUCCACAUAUAUAUUAUAGAGCCUCGUUUUCGUGAUUGAGACGCGGCCUUUAACUGAUGUCAGAUACACGAAAACGAGGCUCUAUAGCUAAAGUGACGUACUUUCCGGAAGGGUGUAUUAGAUGCCACCCAAAAAUGGCGGAUAUUCGUCAUUGUGAGAAAGGCUAAUUGUUUUUAUGCACUCUUGUGUUCAGCAUACUGCUCAAGCAUUCAAAUCAUAACAAUAGGAUAAUUUCUAUAGUGUCACUUUUUUGGGACACCCUGUAUGUCAAACUGUCUGUUUCUCAGGCCAGGGUCAAACGUUGAACUUUUCAUGCGUCGAACCUAAUGUUAAUGAGCUAAGUUCUUUGUUUCACUUUAUUUGCAUCAGGUUCGGCGCAUGAAAAGUUCGACGUUUGACCCUGGCCUCAGACUUUUACAUUUUCCUUCCUUAUCGAUCAAGGAUCCAAAUUUCCUGAUAAGACAUAUGAGGACGUUUUUUCUUCAUUUUCAGAAUGUUGCCCGAAUAACUCGCGAUGAACGAACGGUGUAAACAUACCAUAGUACACACGAAACACGUCCAAAACAAUGUCUAAUUGUGGUAAGUACAAAUAUAAAUUUUAUUACUAAAAUUUAUGCAAUAGAUUACAUAUAAUAAAACUGUACAAUGCAUUGCCAAUGUGAAAUUCCCCCGUAGAUCAACGCCUCUAGCCAGCUUAAUUAUAUUUCAACAAUUGGGGAAAAGAUCAAGUUUAUAUACUCAGACCGUCUUUGUACAAAUCGUACUUGAAAGUCCUUGACAUUCAUCAUAUGGUUAAGUGCUCAAUUGAAAAUGUGGUAAGACAUUUCGUCUAAACUCGUAGAAGUGUCCACAGUUUCUGUUGAAGCAAACAGUGCUUAAAAUAAAUGUGCGGAUGAGAAUGUACGAAGAUGUUUCACCCAAACUGUUGAAGUGUUAAAAAAAAAUGUUUGUCAAUACUUGACUACAGCACAAAGAACAGUGCUCGAGUGAUGCACAAAAUAUGUUUGCCGCGAAAGACAAGUGUUCAUGUUGUCAAUCUUUCAUGUUGUACUAAAACUCCCAUGAACGUGAGUACUGGAUUUUCUUCGUCUUCCUGCGGCAGUUAGGACUGAUGAUGAUCUACGAUCCAACGCUGGUAAAUCCGUUUCAUUGAUGUUCUCACGUAUCCCAACAUUCAUCGCACACUGCAGCAGAAUACGUGUAAAGCCAUCUCGAAAGUCCUUAUUCAUUCUGGCGUAUAUUAACGGGUUUAAUACACUGUUUACAUAAUGGAACCACUUCGCUGCAAUGAUAAUAUCACUGCGCAACGAGCGGUAACAACUGCCACAGAUUGCGUAGAAAUUGAGCACGAAGAACGGGCUCCAACACACAAAGAACGCUGAAAUGACAAUGCCUAAAGUCUUCGCUGCCUUUAUCUCUUUCCUCAAGCGGAAUUUCUUGGUUGUGCCGUUCAUGGGGAUAUCCAUUUUCUUCACUUGUUUACAAGCCACGCGGAAGAUCAUCGAGUACAUUACCACCAUGAUCAAUAAAGGAAUGAAGAACCCGAUAACGGUGUACAUCACUUCGAAAACUACAACAGUAUUUCGAAAUAUGCCUCGGGCGGCGGCCAGAAAUACAGCGAAAAUCCAAAUAAAAAUAAUGAUAAUAACGGCACGUCGUCCGCGCAUGCGCUGGUAGUAGCGAAGUGGCGAGGAAAUGCAGAUAUAUCUUUCAAUACUGAUGCAGGUGAGGUUAAAAAUACUGGUUAGGCCACAGACGAUAUCAGAUAGAGUCCAAAUCACGAACGCAGAUUGGUCAAUUUUUUCCCAUUUUGGAUCUGGUCCUGUGACGACGUGUAUAGCCCAUGUUGGCAUCGAGAGCAUGCUUAUGAGGAUGUCACUGACAGCUAAGGAUACGACGAAAUAAUUAGUCACAGUACGGAGCUUAUGGUAUUUGCGAAAUGCCAUGAUAACCAAGACAUUACCAAAAAUGGCCAAUGCCAUGAUGGCAAAGAUUAUUGUUGCGCUGAUGAUUUUAUACGAUUCCGAGUAGACCAAAUGAGGUGACAAGGUGUUGUUUUUUCCAGGCACCAUGGAGGUGUUGGUUAUGGUCUGGUUGCUGUACGUGGUAGGCGUGAAUGGCAAUGUUAAUGUGCUGGAUGGCACAGAUGAUGUCACAUUUCCCGCCAUGAUUAGUACCAGUCUUUUAUCGGUUUACGGUUUCAGCGGCGAUAUGGAGUGUCAGGAUGUCUGUUCUUCUUUGUAUACAGUCUAGUAAAAUGAUUAAGAAUUAAUUUAUAGUUGCAAGGAUUGGAGUGGGAUUAAUAUUACGAGAAAAUCUUUCCAACUUUAUCCCAACAUAAUAUUUACUACAAACAACUACGCCUUUUGCGCCGACGAAAUUGCUCCAUUUUUAGUCAAAUUGUUCGUGGUAGUUUUUCACACCUGAAUAAAGUGUUUAAUCUUCCUUGGAUCCUCAAUUUGCCUGUUAUAAAUUUUCCUCAAAAGUGCAUAAAAAAGCAAUGGAAAAGUUGUCUGUACAUUACGCCAAAUUUGAACAUUGAAGUAAUAUUUCAAAUCCGGCUAUGAGGACUGGAUUAGAUUUCAACUCCGCGCAAUUUCUCAGAAAUCACAACGGGAAAUCUUACUGAAAUUGGCAUGCACAGUACCUAGUAUGUUGACUACCUAGUAUGUUGACGUAAUCUUUCAAAUCUGACUAUGAAGACUGGACUAGAAUUCAAGUCCGCGCAAUUUGAUCAAAUCCGAGGCGAAGCCGAGGACAGGAUCAAAAUGCGAGAACUUGAAAUCUAGUCCAGUCAGUAUUGGAGGAAUUGAAAUGACAUCUCAUACGCGGAAUAAAUCACUACUACUUAAAGUGAGGUUAAUUAAUUUUGAUCCAGUCCAAGGACUGCAUUAAUUUUGACCCAGUCCUAGGACUGGAACAAUGUACUUCACCGGGUAUCCAGUAUUAUUAUGUGAGCAAAAUAAAGUGAUAUGGUUGGCUAAUUUACUCAUGAAUUAAUAAUGAGUUUGAGAUCAACAUUUCACAAUCUCAAAUGACACAUAAGGAACUGAGUAAGAUCUAAUGAUUCCCUAAGAUCUCCCAUCAUGCAUAAUGUAUGUUGGACAGGCCUGGUUUUUCUCUGUUUCACUCUGGUUUUACUGGUCACAAAAAUGGGCGACCCAAAACAAAACUGACGCUUGCGAUCUUGUUCUCGCAAGAGGUGCAAAUAAGAACACAUGCAUUCGAGAAACACUGAACAAAAGUUUCCACGGCAAUGUUUUCUAGUUUGCCCAAAGUUAUAAGCGUAGUGGCAAAUAUGGCGUGACUGCUGCACAAAUGAUGAUCGUUCUCGUAGAUUUCGAUCUCCGUAACCAGUUUUCCACUUCAAUCGUACCGAAACGUAGCGUAUUUCGUUGUUUCCUGAGCACUAGUGUGGAACUACCCACCGGGCACACGACGUUGUUUCAACGUUGAAAUUUGGUAGAAAAGAGGUUGCGACGUCGACAACCUAAUAUCUACGUUGCUCUGACGUUGUUUUACAAACAUUGGUUUAACAGCAGCCAACAGACGUUGAAUUAACGUUCAUUCAUGGUUAAAUGUACGACGUCGAUUUGUGAACCAAUCUCAACGUUGUUUUAACGUGGAUUCAACGUUGAAUUAUUGUUGACGAGAUUGGCAACCUAAUUUCAACGUUGUUUCAAGGUCGAAACAGUAACGUCGAUCCAAUUUGCAUAGUCAACCCUUUUUCAACGUCUAUCCAACGUCUGGAAGGUCAUUUCCAACGUUGAUUCAACGUUGGAUAAACGUCAUUUUUCCCGCUGGGUAAUGACUUCGACACAAAAGAAAAUGCUACGGUACAUUACGAUACGGUUAAAGUGGAAAACAGCCUUUACACGCUGGGAUUUGUGCUGUACGUAUUCUCGCGUUUGUAAUGGAAUAAGCACGCAUAUUCUAAAUUCAUAACGAAAUGAAGAGGAAUUGUGGCGUCAGCAGUAAUUUUCAUACACCAGAAUCCGAAUCGUACACGACAAAUCACUGCGUGUAAACAUAGCUGGAAAUACGCGUAGUUUAAUAAAAGUGUGGCCGUUUUAUCAUCUCUCUUAUCUUUUAAAGGCUUUUACACAAAACUGAGUCCGCAAUAUCAUUGGCAUUGCAAAAUAAAUGAUAAAGUUCACACGCCUCCAGGACAAAGAUAGUCAAAACACUUGGACAAAAUGAUUCUUAAUUAACGUGAUUACAAAAAAUCUUUCUCAUCAAAUAUUUAUCAAACAUUUCUUUUGUGGAACAAGUUCAAUUUGAAAAAGCAUUUAAAAACACAUUACCGGACUUGUGCUAUAAAAUUAUACUGCAAACUUUUUUUUUGAUUGGUUGAUUGCAUUGUUUAAUCCCAAAUUUGUCACAUUUCGCGAGCUAUAUUAUUGUAUAUUUAAUUAGAACAAUUCUUUUUGGGCAUUUUGCAUGACUGUCAUACAGCCAGCUUGGGUUUUUGCGUGAUGAAUAAUCACUUUACUUUAGAUUUUUGAGAUCAGUGAGUUUGUUGAGAAAAAGUCUCGCACGUGCUAGACUACAAAAAAGCUGCAGUAUAUUUAUAGGUUCUUUUAUCAUCGAGUCUCUGCCGUAAUUAUUCCAAAUGCUGCCAGCUUUGUCAUCGCAAUAUGAUUGUGGCUUCCAGAUUAUACAACAAAUUAACAAAACCUUGCAAACAUGCCAAAAAUGGAAUAGAAAUAAAGCCAAUAUUGCUUUUUCACAAAAACAAGUGUUUAAUAGCGUCUCUUGCCUCAUUUUGUAUUCGUCAAGUUUGUCAGCUGUGAUUGACAGCCUUCGAUAUCGCGCAAUUAUACGUGCAGUUAUCAAUAACACAACGAAAUUAAUAGUCUGGCUGCCUUUAUCUAUUACCUCAUUGUGUUAUAUGACGAAAGAAUGUUUGCUAAAGGGCCAUCCACACAGUACAAUUAAUCGUAUGCGAUUCUUAUCCUGGAGUAUGUACUCAAAUAAAUACGUGUAAAAUGUUACAUUUCAACUUUCGCCAUAGUCAUAGAUGAACAGGAUAUGGUGGUGUCGGCAGUCGUUUUCAUACGCCAGAAUGACAACCGUAUACAACCAGUCGUAUCGUGUAAAUAGACCUUAAAUUAUACUCUAUUUCCUGAAUUCCUGCCUACGAUUUUACAGUUUCAGCGUUCAAUUCCGAAACUAUAGAACGUGUAUGAUUCAACAUGUAACAUGUGCUAUACACGGGCCCGGCUCAUUAAUUAAGUGUACACAGUUUCCAAUUAGAUAUCGUUUUCAUUACUUCAGUAUAUAUGAUGCAAUAACAGCUUGUUGGGAUUUGCAAUAACAAGCUCCAUAUGCGUGUGAAAAUCACGGAACGUUGAAUAUUAAAAGCAUUUUUUGUGUAUUAAUUGCUUAUAAAUAGCUUUAUGGGGGUUAUUUAAUCUUUGGCGUACCAAAUUUAUCCCAAAAUUAACUUCAUUAUUAAGUUUCCUCCAACCUCAAGAGACUAAUCUAAUCUAAGUCUCAUGCUCAAGACUAGUUUUGUCUGGCGCAUUCAGAAAUUAUCUUGGUGUACGACACUAUCAAAGUUUCUGUGAUCACAGUAGGAAUUCUAAGUUUGAAUGGAAGGAUUUGUAAGAAAUGUUUGAGGGAACCUAAUUUCGCCUGUUUCAUUGUACCUUAAAUCAUUAUUUGUUCUUAAUAAAUUGCGUGCCAUCGCCAUUAUAUUCUUGUGGUUCAACCAGUGAGACUGUCAGUCACUUCUUCUUUGACUGUGGCCGAUAUGCUGCUUAGUCAUCGCGCUGUUCUUUUUGCUUCCGCUGCACAAUUACUUGGUUCCAAAUGGUUAAAUUCAACAAGCAAAAUGCGUUUAUCAUAGUUUUUGAACGGUCAUCCCGACGUUUCGCAAAAUACAAAUGCUAAUCUUUUCCUAAUCGUUCAGAACUUUAUUGUGAACACUAAACGAUUUUGUUAAAAUCAAGAACACUUUUCUGCCAUGCCUUGCGGUAAUGUUCACCUUGUAUAAAGAUGGAAGACGCUGUUAAUUCUGCAGGUGCAUGGCUAUGUGUGUGUCAAGAUAUAUUUUAUUCUUAUUCUCAUACGUUUCGUUGCCACUCUAUAUUUAUUAAUUUCAAUGCAAAUACGUAUUUAUUAAUGUCAGGCAAGCUUUCCCUAGAUAACCCAAGGCUUUUGGAAAAAUUGCCAUUUCUUUUUUUUGUUAAAUGAAAUAUUGUUUAUAUGGAAUUACUGUUUAACACCAAGCCAAUUUGCUCAAACAUUCCUUACCAAUCCUUCAAACCUUAGAAUUCAAUUUACCUGUGCAAAAUUCCUACUGUGAUCACAGAAACUUUGAUGGUGUAAAUCAGCCUUACCUGAACUACAAUAGAAUUAACAUUAUUCCACCUGCUCGCAGGCAAGGGACAUAUGGGGGGACAUAUAGUCAACCUCGUUCCCAGGCUCUUUGCUCUUGGGAAGCAAAGCGCAAAGAGCCUGGGAACGAGUUUGACAUAUAGUUUGACUUAGAAUAUAUGAAUUUUAAAAGUUUUUUUCUACUUUGGCUUUGAUACCUCGCCUGUCUAAUACUGCCACAAGGGCUGAAAUAUAUAUGAUUGAAGUGCAAAAAAAAUUAUAGGGAAUAUUAUUAGUCAAGGUAACAAGACCUAUGAGGCUAUGAACAGCCUGCUCACAGCCCCCACCCGAAACUAUUUGAAACGGAAAUCCUUUGAACGAAAUUUCGGGCUGCGAGCAGGUUAACCUAUGAGCUGCUAGCCGAAAAACAGCCCUUACAUUGGAUACGCCGAGGGUGUAUUACUAAAAAAUUCUCGUCCUGCACUUUCCCGAAAAUCAAAAAAAAUUUCGAAAAUUCAAAUUCCUACUUUAAUAAUUUUGAAAUCGCUGCAAAUCCGAAUCCAAAAACUUCGUUAAAAAUCAUUAAAAGUCCCACAAAAGAGCUAAAAACCGGGAAAACUCUUUCAAAAUCCUAUAAAUCUUAUCACAAAAAUCCUUUAAAAUCCGCUGAAAAUCUCGACUGAAAUACUUCCCAAAUUAAUCCCACGUCAGCGAGGUAGGUUGAAAAAUGUAUCUUGUUUAAAUCCUGACAUGCACGAGGGACGUGUUUUUGAGGUGUUUACGUCUACAACGUGGGCAUACCAGUCUUGAUAUUACGAUAAUGCGAAGUAACACCACAUGCUCGAAAUGUUGCCCUUUGGCUGCGUUUAGCGCCUUUUCUAGCCAUAUUUCGGAGGUUUGGGGGAGAUUAAGACCACGAGGGCAUAAAAAACUUAAUUCCUUAUAUAUGUCUCAAGAAACCGUGCGCAUUCGCUGCCCAAAUUAACCAAAAAUCAACGCCUGUAAACGGCUCCACCUGGUUCAAAUUAGCGCAUACGUUUCUUUACCUUUCACAAGCAAGGAUUUUAUUAUAGCGAUAAAUUUUCAAAUGGAAUCUUCGAGUGGGAUGUUUAGUUGAAUUCAAAAUAUUUGGAUGAUUAGGGGUUCUACGCCGUUUUUAAUAUAGAAACGGUUCGCGAAUGACUGCUCAGUAAUCGACUGUAAAUAUUGAAUGCUGGUUUGAAUGGAUAACUAUUAAGGUUAAGUCAUAUUUCCGUAGUCUGCCUCCUUCCCAACAGGGAGUUUGGAGGCCGUGGACCGUUAACAACACGAUACAACAGCUUAGAAGUAGCCUACAUCAGUAUUACUUCGUGUUCUUUUAAAUGUAUGGCCGGUGUAAUAUGGGGAAACUAUUUCAUUUUGCCUUUGACGUUUUCAUAUUGCAAGCAGAAACAUCUUUAGUACAUAAACUAACGAUUACACAAAGGUCAAAGCAAUUUCAAAAAGUAGCCCUUGGUACUUUCGGAGGAGCAAAAUCCUUUUCAAUAUCUUGCAAAAUAUCUCCGUUUGAUUUGCAUUCGGAACAAGUAAAAGGUAUUUUGUACAGAAGAACUUGGGAAUAUAUAGAAAUACAGAUGUCUUUCAGCUUGACUAUAUAUGCUAAUGAUAAAUCUAUGUUUCCGAAGGGCAGUUCUCAGUUUGGAACAAGACUAACACGAUUCAGUUGCGUUCAUUCGCGAAUUGACGGAUUGUGAAGCCUCGCGUAUAUACAUGACUCAUUGAGCGUAUACAAUAGGCGAGUGACAAUCUAUCAUUCAAUUUGUCAUGAUUGUACUGAGCAUUCAAAUGAGUAAUUAUGUUUUCGCGAAACUAGCAAGAAAUUAAAUCCAAGAAUUUGAACCUUGCGGUGUUACACUUAGCGCUUUACAACAAAUAGAAUAGAUGUGUGUAAAACUUACCUGAAUGGCAAUCUGCGUGUCAAGGACUACAGCAUUAUACAACGGUCUCGUUAGUUCCUUUGAUCCACUUGGAGUAGGUAAUCUUCUUCUCUGAUAGAUACAAACCUCGAAACACCACUUUCUCGCUCUAGAUUCUGUAAACGCAAGGUAUUAACAUAUGAGUUGGAACGAGCAGUGUUCGCUCUGCAGCCGGCGUUAUUCUGACAAAUAAUAUCUCAAACCGUAGCAGGGCUAUUUAAAAUACGUGUUUUAUCACAACGACUGAAGAUUGACGUUCUCAACAGAUAAGCUAAGUUAUGACCUCAGGUCAACACAUUUUGGACAUACCUGUUUGGCACUCGCGCAUAUAAAGGCCAUGCGCUCCUCGCCCAGCUGACGGAGACGUGCGCUAAUUCGGGCACUUUCUGCGUGGCACCGCAAUUUGUUUUGUGCGCAGAUUAAUGUUUGAUAAUGAACUAAACGCGAUUCCGGUGACUCGCUGUUGUGCAUUUUCCCACGAGUAAUAUCGCUCAAUUGUUUGGUUUGACGCAACGAGAAUAGCAAAAGUCGCGUUAUUGUUUGGUUUUGAGCGCCGAGAAUGUUGCUUUGCUGCUAUAUUAUUAAUCAUCUUGUUUGGUUGUGCACGCCGAAAAUCUGCUGCCUUUAUUCUAUCACGCGAUUGUUUGAUUUUGCGCGCCUAGGAUGUUGCUUUUUUUAACCCAAAAAGCGUAUACAAGUAAUUGUGUGUCAUUUAAAUGCAUAAUCCCACUUCCAACCGAUAAUUUGAAAAAAAUUCAAAAUAAAACAACUUCCGAAUAUGGUAUCUUGAAAAUCAGAGAUAUGGACAGAAUCAAGACAGAAUUUUAUAUGGUUCUAUUUCGACUUUAUUUCAAAGUCUUAAUCGUGCUUUAUCGGAAUAUAAGCAUAUACAUUUUGUCUUGAUUUUGAUUCAUAUCUUAUAUUUCCAAUAUGCAUAUAGUCUAACUUUGUUUUAUUUUGUAUUUAAAUGUUAAUUAGGAAUGACAGUGCGAAGGCAGAUAACAAACGCAAGACAUCAUUCGUGAGUACGUCUAAUCAUUGAAUGUAACUAACAUGCAGGAUCUUACCAGGGGGUUGCCUGUACCCUGUGUAGCCUUUACCCAGUAAACUCGCGUGACACCAGAAAGCCUCUGUGCCCAAGGGUAACUGGACCUUGGACCGCGGAGAACAACUUAAAACAUAGGACUGUUCAGUAGAUGUAAAAAAUCAUUCAGUUUUAGUUUGGUUUUAGUAAGAGCCGCCUUUCAUUCGUCCAAUGUUACUACAGGAGGAAUCCUACUAAAGUAACUUUAUUUAUAUUGGAUAGAUCUUCAUUUGCACGAGC